RNAcentral lists this ribosomal RNA (497 nucleotides) under uncultured bacterium. RNAcentral's name for it is "partial 16S ribosomal RNA". It matches the Rfam family "Bacterial small subunit ribosomal RNA", at positions 28 to 507 of the family's 1533-position model. The record is from RNAcentral.
GAUGAACGCUGGCGGCGUGCCUAAUACAUGCAAGUCGAGCGAACAGACGAGGAGCUUGCUCCUCUGACGUUAGCGGCGGACGGGUGAGUAACACGUGGAUAACCUACCUAUAAGACUGGGAUAACUUCGGGAAACCGGAGCUAAUACCGGAUAAUAUAUUGAACCGCAUGGUGCAAUAGUGAAAGACGGUUUUGCUGGCACUUAUAGAUGGAUCCGCGCCGCAUUAGCUAGUUGGUAAGUUAACGGCUUACGAAGGCAACGAUGCGUAGCCGACCUGAGAGGGUGAUCGGCCACACUGGAACUGAGACACGGUCCAGACUCCUACGGGAGGCAGCAGUAGGGAAUCUUCCGCAAUGGGCGAAAGCCUGACGGAGCAACGCCGAGUGAGUGAUGAAGGUCUUCGGAUCGUAAAACUCUGUUAUUAGGGAAGAACAAAUGUGUAAGUAACUAUGCACGUCUUGACGGUACCUAAUCAGAAAGCCACGGCUAACUACGUG